Molecule: ribosomal RNA, 417 nt
Filed under: Triticum aestivum (bread wheat)
Lineage: Eukaryota; Viridiplantae; Streptophyta; Magnoliopsida; Poales; Poaceae
Description: partial small subunit ribosomal RNA
Source: RNAcentral
CCGAUGGGUACUUUCAACGACUCCAUCAAGGAGUGGCAGCAACAGUGGUUCUAUAUCACUGAGCCGCGCAGCAAAAAGUGGGUCGCUGCUCCUGAGUUUCGAUCUGGAGCUCCUUUGCGGCUCACAUCCUGGCCCAAGAAGGGCAUAAACUGGUCGUCGUUCGACGAACUGUCAGUGAUCCAGGCGCGCGUCAAAGGUAUGGAGGACAAGGGCAUCAGGCUUGUUGACGUGGUCCAGGUGAUGCUGGUCCGCCUGAUCCUUCCUUGUCAGCACAGAGGCUGUAACUUGUGGGAGUACGACCCGGCCGAGCACUGGACCCUGCGGGAGCUUUUCGGCUCCUCACACAAGGACAUCUGGAAGGUACUCUUUAAGUCCGGCAAACCAUGGCCGGACUCGGCCGCAGACCGCGGGCAUCAA